This 431-nucleotide unclassified non-coding RNA is filed under the name Hevea brasiliensis (rubber tree). The record is from RNAcentral. Lineage: Eukaryota; Viridiplantae; Streptophyta; Magnoliopsida; Malpighiales; Euphorbiaceae.
GAAACCCUGGUAAAACCUCUGCAGAAGCAGGCGAAAAGAAAGCAAGGAGAAUGAAUAGUCCAAAUCCAGUCCACGACGAAGAUGAUCAUGAUGAAGGCGAGGUUUUCCUCGACGAGUCUGAUAUCAUCCGCGAAGUUACCGUCGACGACGAAGAUCUUCCCGAUGCGGACGAUUAUGGUGGCUCUGAUGAUGAAAUUGCUGAAGGAAUUGAUGACUCUAUGCACAUAUUCACUGGUCAUACUGGUGAACUCUAUACCGUUGCCUGCAGUCCAACGGAUCCUACAUUAGUGGCAACUGGGGGCCAGGAUGACAAAGGGUUUCUUUGGAAGAUUGGUCUAGGAGAUUGGGCUUCUGAACUCCAGGGUCACACUGAUUCUGUAUCUAGUUUAGCCUUUAGUACGGAUGGACUGUUGCUUGCAUCUGGGGGGAUG